UAAGCCUUAAGGCUGAAUCUAUAUUUCUAGAUUAGUUUCAAUUAGCUUUUGUGUUGCUCAAGUUUUCUAGGUUUAUAUUUUAUAAUUUUCAAAUUACAUCUUCAAAGAUUCUGCAUUUAGUUUCCUAAAGCUUUUGAUUAAGACAAAAGAAUUUUUAAAAUAUUAGUGUAGAAACUGUGAUACUUAUACUAGGGGGACAUAUUAAAAACAUGACAAAAAAAAAAACAGUGGAAGUUUUAAGGGCUACUGGCAUAAAAGCUUGCAGUUUUAAGGGUCUUUUUUUUUUUCAGUUUUUAAGUUAAUAAUCAAUGAAAUGUUUUCCUUGAAAACAUUCCAGUUGACGGAAAACCUAAAUGUACAGAACAGUUAUUAGGAUGAGACGAGCUAUGAAGAUUUCACCCUCUCUGAAUGCAGGAAGGUAUAUUACUAUUUUAUGAUCACUAACAUUCAUACAAUGGGCACUACAUUACAGAGAGUAUUCUAAGCAUUUUUACAUGUGUUAAUUUUCAACAGUUCUGUGUAUAAAAGUGACCAUUUUAAAAAAUGAGGAAACUAAAGUACAUAGAGGUCAAUUAGCAAAAGAUCAUGUACUGUUGUUUAUAUUAUUUAAUGUGUUGAUAUUUAAACCCAUAAUGUGAUCUGCAUGUGAACAGGGAGAUCUGCCAUCCAGAUCCUCCCAAUGGAGAAUUUGUAGCCCCAGCUGCUAGAAGUGCUGUUGGCAGAAAGCCUUCAGCUGGCGCUGCUUGCAAGGAUGGCCUCAGUGCAGAGAGCAGCACCCUCCCCAGGGAAGCCGAUCUCCAGUGACUGAUGGAGACUGGGGUAAAAAGACUUGGCCAUUCCAUCCAAAUGGGCCAAUUCUGGCUGCCCAUUCUGGCUCCAGAGGCUGUUGUCAGGCUUACAUUGCAGCUUGAGUAUUCCCUCUACCCUGUCUUGCUUCUCCCCCUUCCCUUCCACAGGUAUGGAUUCCAAGAACACCUCCUAAUAAAUAUAUUACGCACUAAUCUCCAGUUCAGAAUCUGCCUCUCAACACUGGAACACUGCGUAAUAAUGAAACACAUUUGUGUCUGUGACUUACAUUUCUAAUUACUCUAUAUAAUGUUUCAAUGAACAUCCUUGUACAUAUAUAUGUAGGAAUUGGUGAAAAUUAAUAUUCUAAUGGAUAUGAUUAUUUUUUAUUUGAUGGCUAAUUUUGCUUUGGUUUAGUAUUCCAUGUUAUGUCAUAAAGACUUAUCAUAUCUUGAUUUAGAAAAGCCACAACAGCUCUCUAAGUGUAAUAGUAAAUCUUUUGAGAUUGGUGAUCUGCUUAUCUGUUCUCUACAUUGCCGGUUUCUGCAGUGACGAGUGAUCGGAAUUGCCACUGCAGAAAUCCUCUGAAUCACCGCCCCAAGCCCCUGACUUAGAAAUCCAUUUCAAAUGUUUUACUAUUGUCUUUUUCAUAAAUCAUUCCUGUUACAUAAACCUUGGGAUUAUGUUUUCAUCAAUGUCAUAUGUGCUUUGCAAUUUUCCUCCAGCAAAAUAAUAAUGCAGUACAACUUUUGCUGUAUCCUUUCUGAAAUAGAUGAAUAAUAUAAGGAAUUCAUUUUAUAAUUUUGUUUGGGGUAGACUGAAAAGGUGCAGGUUAUUGAAGGGCUGGUCAUCUCAUAGUAAGAGAAAUAAGAAACAAGAAUUCAAGCUCCUGAGUGAAGUUCAUCUCUCUGAUUAAAGCUUUGGUUGAAGAACAUUUUAAAUAGAAAAGAUAAUAUUUGAGAUAUCUAGGGUUUUUUUUCAUAAACAUAUCUCCAUAUUGGGACAAAUAACCUAUUAAAGAAUGUAGGAAACGAUCUUUUUAUAUUUUAUAUCUCUAAUGAACCAUCCUACAUUUAGAAAGAGAGACUAAGAACCACGAGCUUUCACAAUCAGUUAGUGGCAGAGGCAAGAUCUGAACCCAAGUAAUUCAGUUCCUGGUCCAAUGUCCUUUCAUUAGCCAGUCAGUGUUUCCUGGACCGCCUAACCAUAGUUCUUCAUUUAAUAUUUUGUACAGUAUGAACCAAUACUAAGCAAAUUUUUAUAAGAAUUUUUUGGCAGGUAUCCUAAAAAAAGGAUAAUCUGUAUUUCUACAUCAAAGAAUGAGUCUAAAGGCCUGGCAUCUCAGCCCAGUUGGGGACAAUGCCAAAGACCAUUCUAGCACCAGAGCUCCCUGUGGGUCAACUGUGACCAUCACAAAGCCUGACUUUUCCCUCUACUCAUUCCUGCUUUCUUCCCCUCCCUUUCCCAGGUGUUGAUCCCAAGAAGAGUCCUUAACAAACAUCCUACAUGCUAAACUCCAGCUCAAAAAUCUGCUCCUUUCAAUGAAAACUAAACUAUUGGUGGAUACAGCAUGAAGGUAGCUGUCUGCAAACCAGGAAGAAAGCCUUCACCAGAUGCCAAAUCUGCUGGCACCUUGAUCUUGGACUUACCCGCCUCCAGAGCCGUGAGGAAUAAAUGUCUGUCGUUUAAGCUGCCCAGUCCAUGAUAUUUCUUAUAGCGGCCCAAGUUAACUAAGACGCCAUAAUUAACAUAUUUUUACAAGAUGGACUAAUUCUAAUCACGUGCACGUAAUCUUUCUAGUUUAUGAAAUUUCUGUUACAGUUCUUUCUUCUGAUUAAUUUAAGAUUUGGAGAUAUCUGUGAGUUUUGUAUUUUUGUCAUUGUUGUUAACCCAUCUCAGUGUAAAGAAAGUUUGGGUUUUUAUUAUGUUCAAAUUCUAUAGAUUACUUAAUAUUUAACUUUCUAACAUUUAAUCUUAAGAUUAGAAUUAUAAAACUUCAAGAAUAUUUACAAUGAGAAACAUAUCGUUCAGCCCAAGCAAUAUCGACAAAUACCCCCACUGAGGAGCAGUUUCUCUAUUAAAUAUGAGAUGGAAAACUUCGUACUAUAUUCUAAUGAAUAACUUUAUGAAUAGAAAUAAUAAUCAUGAACUAUAUUUUAUUGCCAUUUAUCAAGGGCACAUUUCAUUUUGGAUUGGCUUUGAUGUAAACCAGGCAGUGGUUUUCUAACACCAGAUUAUAUGUAAAUGGUUGGUUGCAGUUUUGUAAAAGUGAGAAGAAAAAAAAAAGGAAGGAAGCAUGUAUAUCUCCUCCGCUUUCUCCUGUAAAAGUUACAAUAUGGUUAAAACCCACAGAAACAAAGAAAACAGGAGAGGAGAUGAUAGCAAGGUGAUAGCAACAAAAGGUUGAAAUGUGGAAGGUGUACAGAGGAGGGCUAACCACCCCAGCACAUCAGAGGAAAGCCAAUCCAAAGCCAGCAGCUGGAAUAGCACUGCAGACGCUGGUAAGAUGCCAGGGCUGCAGGCACCUGGUGCCUCUAAAAAGUCUGCAUGCAGAUGGAGCGGAAAAUGGGGAGUUUGCAGGAAAUCUUCGUAAGAAGAAUUCCCAACUCGGUUACCUGAUCCAGUGCACUUAGGAUGGCCAGACUUUUGUGGAAUGUCUUGGACUGAACAUCAGGGAAGGAUUUAGCCAUAGACUAUUUCUGAAGAAUAGUAUCAAGUAAAUCCUGCUCAAAAGCCAACUAUUGCAUCAUAGGUACAUUCCGUCUCUAUUUAAGUCCUUGUCUACUGUCUACACAGCCAGACAACUCCUUCCCUAACACACUAUCGGAAGAGUGGAAGCACACUCUGGGGGAGUAGGGGGCUAAGCCAGGCGGUCUCUUGAUUCAGGGUCAAUAGGCAGAGAUGAGUGUGGGGCAUCAAGAUGAAUACAGGAAGUUUAAGAGAAAAUUGGCAUAGUGACUGGUAAGACCCUUCCAGCCACCCCCCACACCAUGCUUGAAACAGCAGUAUUUAGACUUAUAUUCCCUUGAAAUUUUCUUAAGAGAAAAGGCUUACAGAACUCAAAAUUUAAAAAUAUCCAACAAAACAGCUGGGAACAUUUCUGUGGUAGAGUAUAAAAAACUAUAAAAAAAAUUAUUUAAUGAAAAUAGCAACUUAGUCUUCUCCUCCCUGCAUCUUGCAGUGUGACAUUGCAGAGCUUCUCAUCAAGAAGCGGGGACAAUUUCCCCACCCAUUGAAUGUGUGGUAGCUAUGUGGUUUGAUUUGGCCAAAGGAACAUUAGCAAACAUGAUACAAAACAGAUGCUUAAAAACCAUUCGCGCACUGGAGUUUGCUCUCUUGGUGCACUUGGAAUCCUGAGACAACCAUAUGAACAAGCUCAUUCUAGCCUGCUGGAAGGUGAGAGGAAGACAACAAAGAUGCCCCAGCCAACGGCCUAUCAACCGCCACACAAGAGAUCAUAGAUCAUCCAGCUACCAGUCAACAUGGCAGUUGAUCAAAAAAGCAUGAGCUAACCCAGAGAGAUCAGCUGGGCCAGCUCAGACUCCACCUGAACCACAGAAUCAUGAGCUAAAUAAGUGAUUUAUUAUUUUAAGCUACUCAUUUUGAAGAUGAAUUAUUUCACAGCAAAAACUAACCGGUACACUGGCUGACCAAUCUCUUGUAAUACUCAGCAUGGAAUAAGACCCAUUUUUGGACGUGGAACUUCCUAUCAGCUUUGCGGGACCUAAUUUUGACCAAGGGAAAAAAAAGUCAAGUACAGUCUUAACUCACAGAUGAGAAAAACACUUAUUUAAAAAAUUUGUUUUAUCUGUGUCUUAGUUUUCUAAGAACUAGGAUAUAACAAAACUAGCAAAGACAAAAGAAUAAAACAUUAUAAAAACUUAUUUAAUGGCCUUGGAGAGAUGAGAGAUGAUAUUUCACUAUGUAACAUGAAGAGAAAGUUAUAAAAGCAGAACCUUUAAGAAUAAAAACGUGCUAUUGGAAUUUUUAAAAAUGAUAGCAGAAAUGGAAAACCGAAUAGAACAUUGGAAGAUAUAAUUGAGAAAACCUGCUAGAAUAAAAAACAGUAAGACAAAGUGAAAAGCAAAUGGAAGGGAAAGGAGAAAAAAAUUUGAGAAUCAGUUUAAGAAGCUGAGCAUGAAUAAUAGACAUUUAAGAGAGAGAGAGUAGAAAAAUAGAGAAGAAAUUAUCAAAGAAAUCAUUCAAGAUUUUUUUCAGAAGUUAAGAACACUAAUAUUCCAGAUUAGUGCACUAUAGUUUUAAAAAGACUGAGGUAGGGCAUAUAACUUUGAAAGCUUACGACUCUAGAAACAAAGAUCCUAAAAGCAUACAGAGAGGAGAGGAAAGGAAAAAAAAUGUUCAUAAGUAAAAUUUCUGGAGUAAGAAUGUUAUUGGACUGCUGAAUGAGUAACUUUUUAGAUUACUGGAGAUUAAAAAGCUAAAGAUCGUUGAAAGUUAAAAAGCACUGAAAGCUAAACACCUUAAAAAUGUGGAAGGGAAAUAAUUCUCAACUAGACUGAUAUACCUAGUGAGCCUAUAUCAAAUGUGACAAUGACCUAAUGACAUUUGCAGGCAUCAAGAUUUUAAAGUUUUUACUGCCCAUGCAGCUUUUCCCAGGAAGUUAUCAGAGAUGUUUCCUCAAAAGAGGAGAUAAAACAGGAAGGGAGGAAAACAUGGAUUCCAGGAAACAACGAAUCUAACACAGGAUGAUGGAGACCGUCAGCAGGCAUCCUGAGCAAGCUGACACACUUGGGGUGAGAAGGGGGAGGACUCCAUAGCGAUGUCGCAAAGAAGAUGAAAUUGAUACAACAUUGGAUGCAUUGGGAACAUGUGGAGGAGGAUGGGAGAGAACUUUCAUGCUGGGUUCCGUAUACUCAUUUAUUAUGAGGUUGAAUCCAUGUAGCACCUGUAGUGAAAACGUUUUAGUAUAGAAGAAUUGUGCUGUACAUGCAGUAAAUGCAAACUUCCUAUAAAUUAGUCUCCAAAAAAAUGAGACUUUGCUUUUAACAUGAACUGUAAAUUAUAUUUUUACAGAGCCAAUAAGGCUACUGAUUUUAAGAUGUUUCAAAUUCAAACCAAAGUUUCAAGAGUGGGGGUAUCCUGUAGGCUGCAUAUAUUUAAAUGUGGUCAGUUACAUGCAUUGAUUCCUCCACGAACCAUGGAGUUAAUGAAUACCUUAUGAUGAAUUAUUCAUACCACUAUAACCAUGAGCGUCUUCCCCAGGAGAAAAUCAUUCUAUAAAGACACUAAGGGGAUGGUUGUCUGCCAAAAGCCAAGAUUUGGGGACAGCCUUUCAGAAGCGGUGCUGUCCCAAGGACAGCCAGCAUCCUGCUUGGUACCCACAACGCCCGGCAGCAUAGUGCAUUUCCCAUGAAGUCCCCUGAUUCUAAACUAGAACAAAGGAUACUGCUGUCAGAACAAUUGUCUUAUACAUUUAGAUGUAAGAAUUUAUUGAUUUCCUCUGUCCCGUUACUGGGCACCACCUCCACAAUUCACUCUGGAAUUGAUUCAUGUGUUCUAAGUACAGUAUGAGAAAUAAAUGAAGACAGUUUUAAAUAUACAUAAAUUAAGUUUGAUAUAAUAACGCUUAUACUCUCCACCCUCCUCCAUCAGGUCGGAUGCUGACAGUGUAGUUUGGAGGCGCUGAAGAGCAGAGAAGGGCAGAAUUAUCUUCCAGGAAAGGUAUUCCACUAGCCUUCCCUGUUUUCUCAUAUGCCCAGAAGGGAUGCUGAGAUUAGUCUCUAUGAACGCGUGUUUCCUAAGUAUUCAGCUUUUGUUUGUUUUUAAACUUUUUAACGAAGCCAUGACUGAAAUAGAUCAAUACCCCAUGGAAGCCCCCAGAUAAGAAAGCAGGGAAAGCAUAACAACCCUUGAGCCAAGAUGCAGCCUAUGAUGGGAUGCACUGGAAAAAAAAAGUCGAGAGGACCAUUUCUACUUGCCUCGCAUUGUUCACCUUAGUAAAAACGUAUAGUAAUUGAAAUUCAGAAAAGAUUAAAUAAGGUUCUAGUCGGCCAAGUCUAAGAAUUCUUAUAAUGAGAGAAAAUGGAAAAUAAUGUACAGCUAAUCACAAUUAACUGAAAUGAUCUUGGCAUGGUCACAGCAUCUUUAUUAAUUAAAUGAACAUAUUUUAAUAUGUUUAUGUUAUAUGCA
This 6936-nucleotide long non-coding RNA is filed under the name Equus caballus (horse). RNAcentral describes it as "lncRNA (ENSECAG00000049487.1)". Lineage: Eukaryota; Metazoa; Chordata; Mammalia; Perissodactyla; Equidae. The record is from RNAcentral.